RNAcentral lists this ribosomal RNA (505 nucleotides) under uncultured Gammaproteobacteria bacterium. Its description in RNAcentral is "bacterial SSU rRNA". It matches the Rfam family "Bacterial small subunit ribosomal RNA", at positions 35 to 532 of the family's 1533-position model. Lineage: Bacteria; Pseudomonadati; Pseudomonadota; Gammaproteobacteria. The record is from RNAcentral.
GCUGGCGGCAUGCUUAACACAUGCAAGUCGAACGGUAGCAGGCCCUUCGGGGUGCUGACGAGUGGCGGACGGGUGAGUAACGCGUAGGAAUCUGCCCUUAUAGUGGGGGACAACCUGGGGAAACUCAGGCUAAUACCGCAUACGUCUUACGAGAGAAAGCGGGGGACCUUUCGGGGCCUCGCGCUGUAGGAUGAGCCUACGUCGGAUUAGCUAGUUGGUAGGGUAAAGGCCUACCAAGGCGACGAUCCGUAGCUGGUCUGAGAGGAUGAUCAGCCACACUGGGACUGAGACACGGCCCAGACUCCUACGGGAGGCAGCAGUGGGGAAUAUUGGACAAUGGGCGCAAGCCUGAUCCAGCAAUGCCGCGUGGGUGAAGAAGGCCUGCGGGUUGUAAAGCCCUUUUAGUGGGGAGGAAGCAGGUGAUGUGAAUAGCAUCACUGAAAGACGUUACCCACAGAAAAAGCACCGGCUAACUCCGUGCCAGCAGCCGCGGUAAUACGGAGGG